GUAAUUUUAUGAAUAGCUUGCUUUAACUUAAAAUAUUUCCAGUCAAAAGUGUAGCACAUAGAACCUCACGGUCAACGUCAUUGUGCAGAAUGACUGUACUUGACACAUUAGUUGAAUUCAUAAAAAUCUUGCACAUAAAGUGAGCAUUUUAAAAGAGAAUCAUGUUUUCUAUUCACUUCUAUAAUUAGUCAGGUUAAGUGUCACAUGGGAAAAAUAAGUGGCCCAGUGCAUAAUUUUUUUUAAAAAAUUAAGAAUUGCAACUCUCACUUCAGUGAUAAUGAUGCAUUUAUCUAUAGACACAUUGUGUGCAUUAAUUGCCCCCAAGAAAAGCCAAUAAGAAGUGAAUCCAAUUAAACAGCAGAUAGUUUGGAAGCAAAUGCUCUGUAUAAACCACUGGUGGAAGCUGAAGGAAGCUCUGAGAGUGUAAGUUAGGACUUGUUCUCCUAGUUAAGAGUGCACAGCAGAAAAGGUAGGACUGAGUACACAGACAUUUAAACAACAGCUCAUGAUAUUCACAUGUAUUCUCUGCAGAACUGCAUUAAUGAUUUAUAAUAAAAUAUACCAUACUUUCCCUUCUAUUUACAGGACUCGGAGUGGGUACCACAUUCUCAUAUAGUUGCCUAAAUAGGAUUAAUGUAGGAGCUUUUCAUCUGGAUAAGGAAUACAGAUGUCGUUAAGCAAAUUGACUAGUUAAAACAGUAACUGUUUGCUUUGGGGUAAAAAUGCAUGUUCCUAUUCUUUUAAACAGACUUUUAAAGAAUGAUUGUUUUUGCUACAAACUUUCCUACCAAAACACUUGUUGAGCUAAUGAACAUUUCUAAGUAGAACUUUGGUGUUAAGCAGUGGAGGAAUGGCCUUUGCAGAUAUUGUUAAACCCCCAGUACCAACUUUGGGUGCCGUGCUUUCUUCAAGUUUGUAAUUCUGAGUUUAUUUUUACUUAGGGAAUCUUUUCAAGUUGUCCAAAAUGUAACCAUAAUAAAUUCGAUAUCACUGUCUGUUUAGCAUGCAACUAAUCAUGAUCAAGGAGAGGUAACAUUGGAGACUUAAAGAAAAUACAUCCAUAAUUACCAUUUUAGUUUUAACCUGACUGAUUAGAAUUGUUGGGAGGGACCAUGGAUGUAUGAACAACAUCAUGUGAAAACAAAUAUAUAUAAGCCAGCAUUCCCAGUGUGCUAUACGCACUUUCACUCUCCUGCUAAAGAGUAAGUAAUCAAAAUAGCAAUACCAACCAGGACCCGUAGUUCCCAAAGCACUCUGGAUAGAUCAUCCAUUUUAAUUCUUAGAACGACUAGUAAGUUUGCCAAGGCACAUGGUGUCCGCGUGUUGCAAGUAGGAAGUCUGUGAGGUUUAAAAGGACAGAUGAUGAGCUUGAGGACUCAAAGUUCUUAAAGCAGGCAUCUGCCUCUCCCGACUCACACACUGUGACAGGCUUGGCAGAAAUAGGGACCCAGGGUGAACCUUUACCAUGCCACAGCCAUCCUGCACGGCACAGAGGAACUACCAAAAUGUGAUGCAGAGGCUUUGCUCUUCAGAGGAAGGAAGCUCCCUCAGGCCACAGGGGCACUUGCUACAAUCCCGUGCAAGAAGGGGAAAAAAAAGAUAUUUAGCUGCCUUGUAUGAUGUGUUUUUUCCAACUUAAAAAGAAACCUUUGUAAAUAGGGAGUUUACAUUCAUCAAAUACUGUCAGAAUCCUGGUGGUUUCCUGUGAAAAGCAUGGUUAUAUCUAAUGGUUGUAUUAGUCCUUUCCUAUGAAGAAUGUAGACUUCUGUAUCUAAAACGGAUCUCAAUCCUAACUUGAACAAUCCUUCCCACCUAUUAGGAUUAUGCCUUUUCCUUUAAAAAUUAGGUGAACAUAAUCACUUUGGUUUCCUGGAGCAUAUGUUUCAAAAUGUUGUCUUGAAGGACUAGUGCUAAUGGAUUGCUUUGCGAAGCAGUGUGCACCUGGAAACUGAGGAAAAGUCGUGGACUGUGAAUGCAUAGGCCAUGGUCGUUUGUUGUCAGUACAGAGUGCAAAGCCGUCACUAAAUCCCGCAGUCCAUUUAACAGGGAGAGUUUCAGAUCAAAAAACUUGGCACUUAGUCCUAGAGUCCGGCAAUGCCAGGGCCUCUUACUUCGAUCACAUCCUUCAGUUGUGCACAAACAUCCAGUCAUCAUUGCAGCUUGAAACUCCCUAAGCCUUUUAUCAUUACUGCCCCAGAACCUCUGUCAAUGUGGAAUAUUCAGGUGUCCUCCGCACCUUGGUCCUACAACACUUGCAGUCCAAAUUGCAUUUCUUCCACAAUAAAUAAUUCUGAGCUAUGAAUUUUUCAUAUCUAUGUUUUUAAUUUCUUUUGCAUAAAUGGAACUUGUUCUCCCCUUAUUGGUGAUGAGAUUAAAAUCAUGGUCUAAGGCCACAUAGCAAGUUUUGAAGCCACAGUCGAGGCUAGCAGAUAACCUCACAAUCCAACAUGGUUUUUCUUAGCCUUGUUGAACUUCAGUUGGCAUUGGUUCUCAUUUGGACUUUAAAGUGACCUAACAGGCUUACCAAAUAUAGAUACUCUGGCAUCUACCACUGAGCAUCUAAUUGAGCAAGCCUAUAGUAAGGCCCAAGGAUUUGCAGUUCCAGCAGUUUCUAACCAACACUGAUGUUACUGUCUAGGGAGCAUUCUCGUAGGGGCACUGACCAACAGACUGCAUGCAGUAACUGGAUGGCAGAGUUUCAGUAAGACAAGGGGUUUUCUGACAGAAGUUAGCUGUACGUGUGCUGCCUUGAGCUCUUUAUUUCUGUUUCUGAACUCCAUUGGGAAAGAACGGGACAAAUAUGG
This 2804-nucleotide long non-coding RNA is filed under the name Mus musculus (house mouse). RNAcentral's name for it is "long non-coding RNA chr16:43494036-43496840". Lineage: Eukaryota; Metazoa; Chordata; Mammalia; Rodentia; Muridae. The record is from RNAcentral.